This 364-nucleotide ribosomal RNA is filed under the name uncultured bacterium. RNAcentral's name for it is "bacterial SSU rRNA". It matches the Rfam family "Bacterial small subunit ribosomal RNA", at positions 28 to 419 of the family's 1533-position model. The record is from RNAcentral.
GGUGAAUGCUGGCGGCGUGGAUAAGUCAUGCAAGUCAAGGGGGCCCGCAAGGGCAACCGGCAAACGAGGUAGUAACACGUAGGUAGACCCCCCAGAGUCGGGCAUAGCCAGCCGAAAGGUUGGGUAAUUCCCGAUAGUCCCGAAAGGGUAAAGGUUUUUCGCUCUGGGAGUUGCCUGCGUAGUAUCAGCUAGUUGGUAGGGUAAUGGCCUACCAAGGCUACGACGCUUAAGGGGAGCUGAGAGGCUGACCCCCCACGAUGGAACUGCGACACGGUCCAUACUCCUACGGGAGGCUGCAGACGAGAAUAUUCCGCAAUGGGCGAAAGCCUGACGGAGCGACGCCGCGUGAUUGAUGAAGUGCUUC